Molecule: ribosomal RNA, 460 nt
Filed under: uncultured bacterium
Lineage: Bacteria
Description: partial 16S ribosomal RNA
Rfam family: Bacterial small subunit ribosomal RNA
Source: RNAcentral
CCUACGGGUGGCAGCAGUGAGGAAUAUUGGUCAAUGGACGAGAGUCUGAACCAGCCAAGUAGCGUGAAGGAUGACUGCCCUAUGGGUUGUAAACUUCUUUUAUAAAGGAAUAAAACGACGCACGUGUGUCUUUUUGCAUGUACUUUAUGAAUAAGGAUCGGCUAACUCCGUGCCAGCAGCCGCGGUAAUACGGAGGAUCCGAGCGUUAUCCGGAUUUAUUGGGUUUAAAGGGUGCGGAGAUGGGUUGUUAAGUCAGUUGUGAAAGUUUGCGGCUCAACCGUAAAAUUGCAAUUGAUACUGGCAGUCUUGAGUACAGUUGAGGUAGGCGGAAUUCGUGGUGUAGCGGUGAAAUGCUUAGAUAUCACGAAGAACCCCGAUUGCGAAGGCAGCUUACUAAACUGUGACUGACAUUGAGGCUCGAAAGUGUGGGUAUCGAACAGGAUUAGAUACCCUUGUAGUC